This 233-nucleotide unclassified non-coding RNA is filed under the name Hevea brasiliensis (rubber tree). The record is from RNAcentral. Lineage: Eukaryota; Viridiplantae; Streptophyta; Magnoliopsida; Malpighiales; Euphorbiaceae.
CAUCUUUUUUAUGUAUCGAUCUACAUGGAGAGAAAGGUUGCCAGCAAGACCUGCAUUCCAGAACUAUAUUUCCAUCAUGUUUUGCGUAAAUGCAACUGCCUUGCUUGCAUGUGCACUUGCAGCACAUGGGACUGGAUUUGGAAUAUGGUUGUACAAUAUCACGGUCAUAUGUUACCAUGCCAUGUACCUUCCUCUUCUGUAUAUUACUUUCCUAGCGGACUUUUUGCAGGAGG